Long non-coding RNA from Mus musculus (house mouse), 733 nucleotides. RefSeq annotates it as predicted gene 10602. Lineage: Eukaryota; Metazoa; Chordata; Mammalia; Rodentia; Muridae. The transcript is spliced from 2 exons. The record is from RefSeq and is marked validated.
CUCUCUCGGCAAGGACGAUGCUCCGACAGCCCUACAGGACCCGCAAGACCAGCACCUCCCAAGUCCCACAAUUAUUUUGUCCCCCCACCUCAAGAAGAUCCAGUUCCCCGGUACCCGCUCCGGGACAACUUGUGAGUCCAAGUUCUCGCUGGUGAAUUCAAUCCUUCCAACGAUUCGCAAUGAGAUGACCCCUAAUCCCUAUGCAAAUCUGAUUCUACUACACACAUCUCUUCUACUCGGCACCCCCACAGCCUUGCGGGAUCAAGGUUCGGAAAGCAAGGCUCCAGGAUAGACAUCCACAACUACUACAACAUCCAAGAGAACAAGUUCUCGUAACUCCUAUAAGGAGGCAGAAGCAAAUGGAACUCUACCUAGUUGUAAGCCAGCUUCCUUGGUCUAGACUUCCAGCCCAUCCAAGACUACAUAAGAGAUGUGGCCUCAAAGAAAGAAAGGAGAACGAGUUGGAGAAAAGCUGUCACGACCCUCCAAAAUCAAUAUAUUUACAGCUUCCUGAGAGGACGGCGAUGCUAAAGACUGUGUCAUUGGGGUGAGAUGGCUUAACAGGUAAAGGCGCUUUUGCCAAGUUUGAAGACUUUGAGUUGAACCCCAGGGACCCAUGUGGUGGAAGGAGAGAGCUCCUGCAUGUUGUCCUCUGACUUCCACACCUGUGCCAAGUCAUCCAUGCAGCCCACACACCUAGGCACACACUCAGAAUAAACACAAAUACAAUUUA